AUCACUGUCCCUGAUCUCGAUGAUGUAUAGUUUUUCCCAGUGGAAACUUUUAUGUGCAUUCCAUGAGGCUUUAAUUUUUUAUUUUUUCUUUUGUCAACACAAGGUUGUAAUUUAAAAAAAAAAAAAUGAUAACUCUUUGUUAAUAUUAUGUAUUUUUUAUAAAAAAAUAUGGAUUUUCUUCACAAAUAUAAAUGGUUUUAAAGUAUUUUUUUCUAUAAAUAUAAGUAGUUUUUUAAAUAUUUAAUAAGAUUUUUUAGUCUUUACUCAUGAUAUAUGAAAAAUAUUAACUAUUUCUAUAAUUUUCUAAAAUCAUAUUUAGUCAAAUAAAUAAUGUGAGAUAAAUUAUAAUUUAAUAAAAUUAAGAAAAAUUUUAGUAUAAUUUAGGAGAAUUAAUUAUUUUUUAAUUACUGAAAAAAAAAUCUUAAAUGAUUUAUUUGUGAAUGGAAGGAUUACAUUUUUUUAAAUCAAUUGAUAUUUCUUUAUGCUUAGAUUGGGAUAAAAUUUUUAGUCAAUUAAUAAAUAGCUUUAAACUCAUAUCGAGAAAAUUAUGGCAUUUUUAAAUUACUCGCUCCAUCCUAAAAUAUUAAUAGGUUUAAGGUGGUUAUUUCAUUCAAAAAUAUAAGAUAUUUUAAAUAUUUUCAGAUUUUUUUUAAUUUUAUCUUUGUGUAUAUUAUAUAUAAUAAUUAUCUUCACAAAUUACUUUUAAUUUUGAAUUAAAUAAUAAUUUAAUUUAAUUACUCUUAACUUUAUUAUAAUUUAAGAAAAUUAACUUUUUUCUUAAUUUUAAUAUAAAAUCUUAAAUGAUUUAUAUAUUUAGAAUGAAGGAGUACAAAUUUUUAUAUUUCCAUUAUUAAAAAUAUUGCAUAGACUAAAUAUCAAUCCACAAAUGGCAUAUAAAGUUGACGAGCAAUCUAACUAAUUGAUUAAUAUUAAUCUUUUAGCAUUGAUUGGCCUAGACCCAAAUAACCCAUAAAUUACCAUUUUGUCCAAAAGUUGGUGUAUGUGCCUAAAAAAAAAAAAAAGAAAAAGAGAAAAAAAUUCCUAACCCUUAAAGCAAUUGGAUAGAAUCCAAAAGUUUGUUCAUUACCCACUUUUAGUGGGUAAUAAAUACAUUUGCAAUCGUAAAAGGUAACCUAAUUAAUAAGCAAAUCUAUAACUUUCCAUAAUCUACUACCUUAAAAAACCAUUAAAUUUUUGUAUAAAUUAUAAUAAAUUAUUGAGUAAAUUGACUGUGUUAUCUUUAUUUAAUAUCAUUUUUUAAAAAACUAUUAAAUUAAAUUAGUAAUUAUUGGUCACAUAUAAAAGGUAAAUAUAGAAAAAAUGAAUUUAUUACUUCUUGAAUUGUAAAUAUAACAAGUAUUAUAGAACAGAGAUAUUAGAAUAUGAAAAGGAAAAACUACGAUUUUAUCAUUAUAGUUUCACAUGAUUAAUUAUUUUGCUCUUACAUUUUAAAAAUUAUACUAUUUUAUUCAUGUAGUUUGUUCCCAUUGAAUAAUAUCCUUUCAUCUAUUAUUUAAGAUUUGUUAAUAGUUCCAAAUUACAAUGAUAAAGUAGUUAAUUAUGUAAAAUCUAUAGCCAAAAGUGUAAUUUUCUCUUUUUAGUUCAUAUAUGUAUAUUGGGUUAAUCCUAUAAUUACACUAGUAUUUAACCACUUAAAUCUCAAAUAAUGGACGGAAAGAUAAAUUCGUUUAAGAGAUUUAAACUACAUGGAUAAAAUAAUGUAAUUUUUAAAAUAUAAAGACAAAAUAAUUAAUUGUGUGAAAAUAUAGAGAUAAAAAUAUAAUUUCUAAAAAAAAGACUUGAAUGUCUUUUUUUUUUUAAAAAAAAAAAAACUUUUGUACCUCCUAACUCCACGUUCUUCGAUAGAACUAGUUUUAAUAUAUGAUUAUAUAUUCGCAUAAAGGAUGUAUCAAGCCCGCGAAUAAUAAAACUUUUGUUAUUCUAUUUUGCAAUAUUUUUUUAAUUAAUCCCCAAUUACUUGCAUUAAAAAGUAAUUUAAAUUACUGACCUAAUAUAAUUGAUUUAAUUGAAAAUGACUCAGUUAUCUUAAAUAAGCGGUCGACUGUUCUAAUUUUUUUUUUAAAGAAAAAAACAAUGUUUAAAGUUUGUGCUAUUUAUUUAUUUAUCUUCCUAUCUUAUAAUGAGAGAGAUAUUGGUUAUUUCAUAACUCUAAUAAGAAAUUAUAAGGACCGACAACACAUAUAUCUUGAUAAAUCUUAAGGCACAACUCUAGAACCAAAACUUAGAAUAUUUUUUUUAAAUUGAUAUCAUAAAAUGUAAAUAGAUAAAACAACUCCCUAUCUUCAAAAAAUUAAUCAUUAUUACAUUUGAUUAAAAAAAAAAAAAAAAAGACAGUUCUUUUGUUUCCAAGUUCCUUUCCAUUGACCAUAUAUGUCGGAUUGCAAUUAGAUUAAAUUAAAACACUUAUUGCAAUGCAGGCCGAAUAUGUAGAAAAAGUUUUUGAAUUUGAUUUUCAAUAAACGCACCUAUAGGAAGGGAUGAAGAGCAUUAACUAUGAGUAAUCCCGAGCUAAAUUAGACAGUCAUUGAUAAUAAGAUCCGAAUACCGGUAAUUUACACAAAAAAAAAUUAAUACACUUACUUAGAGCACAAUUAAGUUAGUAAUUGUCAUAAAAGUUUGAACUACUCCCACAUGUCAAUUGUCUUAACCUGGUUGCAGGUUAAUAUCAAAUGUAACUUGCCACCUAAUGCCCUUGUCAAGUUCCUCUCAAAGGGAUCAUUUAUAUGAUUGCUUAAUAAAUGUUUAAUGUGGUUUUAUCUGCAUUAUAGAAAGUUAUAUACAUAUCCCAUUUGAAUAGGUGGAUUGUUAUAUAUGCCAAAUAUGUAAAUUAACACCUAAAUUUUAUAUAAAAAAAAUUAUAUCUUCAAUUUUUAUUUUGAUUUAUUGAAUAUUUCAAUUUAAUUUAAUUUGAAAAAUUACACAUCUAGUUGAGACCUUUUAAAUAUCAUUUGAUCUUUUUUAAUUUUAGUGAUUUAUCUAUAGAUGAUGCUGUACCAUGAUACCAUUGUUGAUGCGUAAUCAGUAUUUCAAGCUAAAAUCCACGAAAUUGAAAUCAAAUUUUAAAAAAUUAGGAAGAAAAGCAUGAUAAAUAUCCUUUAUUUUGUGGACAUUGAACUAAUUAAUAUUUCAAUUAUGUUAUAUAUAUCCAGCCCCUUAAGAUAUAACAAAUUACUCAUGUAAACUAGAAAUUUAUAAUUUGAAAUAAUAAAAAAAAGCAUUUAUGUAAACAUAAUGAUGGAAGCUGAGCGAGUAUCUUUGAAUUUUAAAUUAUACGCACAUUCAAACUCUUUUGACUAAUUUUAAUUAAAUUCAUUUAAAAUAUUUUUUUAUUAGUAAUGAGAUAUAGUAUCUGUAAAUACCUACAAUCAAGUUUAUUUAAUACGGUGAAUAAUGAUAAUAUGUACCUAAAAUUUACAAGAUGGACCGAUCUAAAUCUAAUUUAUUAGGUUGUUUAUAGAUUAAAUUAAUAAAAAAUAAUAUUUUUUGUUAAAACAAAAAGUAUUUUUAACCAUAUGCUUAACGAGAAAAAAAAUUUGUAGAAUUUGUCAAUUUUCGUUUUUCAAGCUUAAAAUCGUUUUAUUUAAUGAAUUGCAUAUCAUAUUGGCAUUUGAACAAGGAGUGUGGGGCCAUUGCAAACAUUUAAUUGUUAAUGAAAAAAAUCGUGAGUUUAUGGGACGUAUUAAUACAAUUCAGAAAGGAGCGUCUGUAAUAUCAAAUUUCAAUGCCAAACAAAUCCUUCUUGUGGGUCAGCCUCCCUUACUAUGAUGUUCGGAUUCGGAUUUUGUUUUUAUUUUUUAUUUUUUCAUUUAUUAUUGCUUGUGACGUUCAGUUUUAGUUUUUAGAGUGCCAUUCGAAACAUGGUCCCUCUUCGACAUUCAUUUUCUGAAAAAAAAAAAAAAAAAAAAAAAAAAAUUGUUAGAAGAUGUAAUGUAACAUAGAAAAAGAAGUUACAAAUGAAAUAUUUUAAAAUGAAUUAUCCAAAUUAUGCAUAAAAAGAAAAAGUUUAUUGUAGGAUCUUGAAGGCUUGAGUGUUUGUGUUUAUUUCAUAUUGAAUUGUUUUUUUUUUUUUAGGAAUAUUUCAUAUCGAACUUAAAAAAUAUUAUCAUCCAAUAAAAAUAAGCCGUAUGUUUAUUAAAAAUGAAAUAUGUGGAUUAAAACUAAAAAUAAAAAUGGAGAUAUAAUUGAAUCAUUGAAAUUUUUUUAUUUUAAUGCAUGAAUAUUAUUUUUAAUAUAUAUAUUUUCUUAAAUUGAUCUUGUUAAGAUUCAAGCUUGUUAUUUAGUAGGCUAAAUGUAUAAAUUCACGCUUGUAUUUUAUUAUAAAAAAUUUUUUAUAAUACUCUCAAUAUGUAGUUUGAUCAAUUAAAGACUUUAAAUUAUAAAAUUGUGUCUAUUGAAUAUUUCAAUUUAGCAAAAUUUUUUAUAUUAAACAUUCAAUUUGUAGAGUUAGAUUAAUUAAAUAUUUAUUAAAUAGUUAAAACAUGUUAAAAUUAUUAUUUUAAAAAUUAUAACAACUAUAUAUCAAAUCAAUAGAUUGUAUAUAAAAUUCAAAAAUAUCAAAAAAACUUAUUAUUAUAAAUAUGGAGAGGUAUGUAAUGUUAGUAUAAUUUAUAAUUUUACGGCACACAAUAAAUUCAACGUAAAAAAUUAAGAUGCCGGAAGAGUAAAAAAUUAAGAUGCCGAGUGAUUUCUGUCAGAAAGUAGUUCAACGAAUUUAUAUAUUUAGCGACUUUUUUAGUAGUUUUCCUAUUGCUUCACCUAUUUGACCAAGACGGAAAAAGACAUUUGAACGUGAUUAAAGCAAUCUUCUUUCAAGGUUUAUAACGGAUAUGUUAAAAGUUUGAAACUAGAAAAGUGGUUAAUCUAUUCAUAAUUGGAGAGGUUAAGCAUUUGGAAGUUGAUUGAGACAAAUAAAUAACAAAUUGAAGCAAGAGGGAUUCUAACCUAUUAGUAUUAGCCAAACUGUUAAUUUGCCACUAUGCCAUCGAUUGAGGGACUAUAUUAUAUGGUUACAGUCUCGAAGGCCCUGCAGCUAGCUAUGAAUUGCUUCAACAUGGGAGACAUUACAAUUUCUAAUUUAUACAUAUAAUAUAUUAUAUUGGCAGGUACGUCUUUUUUAUGCACUCAAUGUCUUUAAGUUAUUAUUAUUAUUAUGAAUUUCUUACUUUGACGUCACGGUAUUAUUAAGAUAUCUCCGGCAAAAUUAACCGUUUUACUAGCUGUUAGCUGUUUUUUUGUAAAACGCUAAAAGUUAAACGUUAGAUGAGUUAACUUUUCACGUUAUAUGAAUUAACUUUUCAAGAAAUGCUAUCUUAAUCUCUAAAAGCUAAUUCAAACAUUAUGUUGCCAAAUACUGUAAAACAGUAGCGUUUAAAAAAAAAUUGCUUAAAAAUUGUUGCCAAACACAUUCUAAAUCUUAAAAUCAACUUGGUGCUGGAGAAAAUAAAAAAAAAAACACUAUAUAUAUAUAUAUCAAUCAAAUUUAACCUAACCGGUUUCCAUCAAUUUUAAAUGCGAAAAAAAUUGAAAAAUUGCACAUUUGAAUUUUGAAUUUACAAAAUAUUAACUGAUUUUAAAAGAAAUAUUCUGACUAAUAAAGGGACGAAAUUAUAGUAAAAAUUACGUAAAUUUUAGCAAUUUUAGUUUUUAUAUCACCGUCGGUGCAAAAUAUAAGAUUACGGAGAAUCAAUGUGUUAAUUCUAAUAAUUUAAUAACAGAAGUGCACUUAUUUAUAAAAGGGAUAAAACACAGAAGUAAAAUAAAAUUUUCAUAUAAGUCAUAAGUUCACACCAUUGAAAUUAUUCUCAAUUAAAAAAUGAACUAAUAUAUCACAUAAUUAUCAAAUACUAUUAAUGAAAAAUGACUUAACCUUAAUUUCGUUCCAACUAGAAAAUGAUGAGCCUCCUUGAGUUAUGGCAUUGUUUCUGGUUUUCUGCACAAUAGGUUAGCGUAUCGUAGCAUGUAGAAGAUGAUAUUUCCCCGAAAGACACCCACUUGGCCCUCGGUCUUUUUAUCAUCAUUACCAUCAACCAUCCAAGAGACACCGCAUUUGAUAGGCCAUGAUUAUGUAAUAAUUUUAAUACAUUGGUAUUUAUAAGAAAUUCUUUAUACAUUUGAAAGAUAAUAAAUGGAACUUAGAGGAGAACUAUCCCAUUCAACGACACUCCGUUUAAAAAAUGCAUAAAUGUAGCAUAACUUUGUUUAUAAUGUAAUGUAGGUUUUCUAUAGUAUGGGCCCAAUGAUUGUGUAUGGCUCUGGAGUACAUCAAGUUUGGGUUCAUGAUCAACCCAAGCCCAAUACUAUGACGAGCCCAAAACAGACCCAAGACCGUUUUAACUUCAAAUGCUUUAAUGAUAAACAUGGAGUAUGCGUCUAGUGUCACUUUUAUUUUAUGAGCAGGAAAGAUCCGAUAAAAAAAUAAAUCGGAAACCGGAAAACUAACUGUUGAUUGAACCGUUAAGAUCAGGUCCAGUUUGGUUUUUUCAAAACUGAUUUUAUAUUCGAUCUGAUUUUGAUUUUUUCUAUAUCAACUCCAAUUGGCCACUGCACUAAGUCCAUCCUCCGCUGUCUGAGUCUGGACCCAUCCCAAUCCGAAAUCUGGAAAACUUAUCCUAUCAAAUUAUACUAAUAAGAACAAAGAGCAGGGUUUUGGUGCGGCAUCUUUAUUAUGCUUACGGUGGGAUUUCCUCCAGUUAUUGGUUGAGGUUUACUUACACUUGCGGAUGGAAGCAGGGUGGAUGCCCCUUAAUAACAUUUAUAAAUUUUAAAAUUCAAAAAUCAAACUUAUUUAAAAUGUAUAUAUUUUUUACUAACAUCGUGCAAACAAUUACUGGCUACAUCCGACUAAACUACUGUGAUACAAUGGAUAGCGGUAUUGAAAGAUUUAUACCUACAAUCACGUAAUUUUACUUUUUAUAUUAAUUUCAAACUUAUUUAUAAUCACUCUCAUUAAAUAAAUCGAAACAAGUAUGUAAAAUAUCCUCCUCUUCUAUCCCUAUUUGUAUUAAUAAUAAAUUAUUCAUUAUAAAAUCUUGAAUUUUUAAAAUAAUUUAUAUUAAUAAAUAGAUAAACUUUAAAUAUUUUAUCGUAAUUCAAAAUGUUACAUCUUUAAUUAAAUAAAAAUUAUUUUUAUGAAAUAGAUUAUUAAUGAAAAUUAUAUUAUACAAAAAAGUUCACCAAUCUAUAUAAAAAAAAAUUAAAUUAUAAAUUUAGAAGUGUUAAAUAUUGUGAAUUUUUAUACAAAAAAUAGAAAGUCAUAAUCUUUCAAUAAAUGGAGACUAAAAUCUCCAUUGACGAUUACAGAAGUUGGUAUGUUGCUGACAAUUAGUGUUUUGUAGAUUGCUUUUUUUAUUAUUAUUUUUGUUUGUGAUGUUUGUUUAUGAUAAUUAUUUUUUUUCAAAACCAUAAGUUUCGCAGUUUUCUUAUUGUUAUUUCUAUAUAUGAUGUCUCUUUAUCUUUUUCUUCUGAUAAUUAUUUUUUCUCAAAAUUAUAAGUUUCGCAGAACUUGAUUAAAAUUAUAAUGUGAUGUCUAUUCCCAUCACCAUAAUCAACUUUUUUACUCUCUCUAGAAUUGUCAAGCUCCCUUUAUUUCAUUUCUUGUGAAUUUAAGUUUGAAUUAGAAAAUAAAAUCCUAAUCAAUAAAGAAACCAAGAAGCAAAUAGUGGAGAGAUGGAAGAAAAAAGAAAAGCUAAUAGAGAAAUAUGAGAUUGAGCGUAUAACGGGUGAUCAAUAGAGAUCACAUAGGAGAGAGAUAUCAGAUUUUGAUACAAAUCAAAUGAGAGAGAGAGAGUUGAUACAAAUUCUGCAAAUCACAUAUAUAAUAAACUUAUGGUUUAAUCACUUUAGUUAUGUUGUGAAAUUCAUGCUCUUUUAUUAAUUUUAAUACUAAUAAUUUGUUAUUUGCAUCUUUUAUUAUAAGUUGACUCAUUAAAUGACUUAAAGAUUAAAUAUAGAUUUUUAAUCAUUAUUCACAAUUUAGAGGUUAAAUUAAACUUUGUUUUUGAUUGAAAUAUAGGAGAUAAUUUUGAUAGUUGGAGAAGUCACGAUCUCGUGAAUUUUCAAAUUUUGAUUUAUAUUCAUACUCUCUCAAGUUUUAAAUUUAUAUUUACAUUUUUUUUUAUAGAUGUUAUUUAGUGUUUAAUUCUGCUAUAUAAAUUUAAAAAACUAAAUGGUAUGUUUAUUUGUAAAUAACUAAAUGACAUAUUAAUAAAACGAUACGAUGUAAAUAAUUUGUAUGUUUUGAUUUAUAUAAAAUCUAAAUAUUGACCAUUUUAAAUGAAUAUUUAUUUAUUAUUUUAAUAUUUAUAGUCAUUUUAUAAAUAUAAAGAAAUUAUAUUUCUUAUUUUGGGGGAAAAAAUUCUCUCACUUUUAAUUUGCAUAAUAAAUAAAGGGAUUGAUUCGUUUCGACGAAAUUUGUUAACAGAGCCCAUACCAUACCGAAGACAGUGAAGCCGUUCCCAGAUUAGCACUACCGUUGAAAUAUUAUUAAGUUUCCCUACUCGCUAAUUAUACAAAACAAUAUACUCGCCCGAGACACGCAGCCACGUUUUUACUGAUAUCAACUUUAAAACUUCUCGUGACUUAUCGUCUCCGCUCUAUCUUGAUCCCGAAAUACCUCCGAAAACCUCUUAUCAGAUGAUGCCAUCAAAUCCGAAGAAGCGACAGCGCGUGUUACAUCACCGCUAUUUAUCCUCCGCCAACGCCUCCGCCACCACCACGCGCCUCUCCUCCACCGCAGCUCUCAUCGAUUCCUUCUCCGACAAAACCAUCACAGAAACCUCCCAGAAGCUCCGUCGCACAUCCUCUCAUCCUCUCUUUCCAUCCUCCACUUCAUAUUCAUCGUACGCAUUUACCACCACCAACGCCGACACCUCGUUCAACGACCCCACCACCGCUGAUGUCAUCCUUCGCCUUUUCCUUGACGCUACAGCCCCCUUUACAGAUGGUGAUGGUUGCUUUUCCUCCGUCGGUGAACAAUCUGACGUCCAGAUCUACCUUCAUUCUCAAGUCCUCCGUCGUGCGAAGUAUUUCUCUGCCCUAUUAUCUGAUCGCUGGCAACCCAACUCUUCCGCCAUUGAAUCCAAUUAUCCAAAUUCCAAUGGCAAGAGUUUGAUCUCUCUCAAAUUCGGGGUUCAGCCUACUCAGGGCUCCAUGGAUGUUCAUUUAACCGUGCUUGAACUCCUUUACACCGACGAUUUUACCACCGUAAUAAACUCUGCAUCCACGGCUCUUGAUAUUCUACCUGUGGCGUUAGAGUUGUUAUUCGAAGAUUGCGUGAAGAAUUGUGUUAAAUUCCUGGAAGCGGUCCCGUGGAGCGAAGAAGAGGAGAAACGUGUGCUCAGCUUGAUUCCUUUUUUGCGUGAAGAGGAAUCUCAAGAGCUUUUAGCUAGGACUUCACCGGGGAAGGAUGAUUCGUGCGAGGAAAUGCUUCACGGAUUGAUAUUAGCUGCAAUUCAUAACCAUCCAAACAUGGCUUUCGUGAAGGCAUUUGUGGCUAAAUUGUUGAGGGAAUUUUCGUCGAGAGAGUCCGCUAGGAGAGUUCUGGAGAGAGCUUUUGAGGAGAGUUUGAAGAUUGUGAAGGAAUCGCUUGAGGAGUACUCAAGUCCUGAUUUUAGAGGGGAUCACAAUGAGACGGAGGCAAUACAGAGAUUGAAUCUGCACACGGCCUUGACUAAUGGGAAGCAUUUGCUGUGGCUGGUGGAGAGGAUGAUUGAGCUGAAGGUGGCGGAUAGUGCGGUGAAGGAGUGGAGUGAGCAGUCGGCUUUCACAGCUGAUUUGCAGCGUGCGUUUCGUGAUGAUGCAUGGAGGAAUAUUGUGCCGGGUCUUCCUGCUGUUGUGCUUCGUUGUACAUUGAAGCUUGCCAAUGCGGUUGCUGCUGGGACCAUUUUGGCUGCUAGACAGGUAUGCUUUUCGCUUUGCAUUGCAAUCUGCCACUUAUUUGCAUAUUAGUUCAAACUUUGCAGCUUUAAUAAUUGAGAAUUAUAGAAUUGAAAUUGCUGUGAAGGGAAGGAAACACUGCUUUCAUUUAUAAUGAUCUUUUAAUGUUGGGGGGGGUAUUUGUAUAUGUAUCUCUUAUGUUGAAGUAUACUUGCCUAACCUUUCACCCUUAAUGUCCUAUUUUGAUUAUAAUCAAGGUUUAGUGCUUUUAGGGAGGUUGUUUCAUGUUUUCUGUACUUUUUACAAUGUCACAAUGGCUAUAUUAUAUUGCUUAACUGAAGGUUGAGAUAGCUGAGGCAGGCUCAUGCUUUUGUUCAAAUAUAAAGAACUCAUGCGAAUGUUUGAUUCAUGAAGAUUGCAUCCUUCUAUAUUUUAUGGAACAAAGUGACAGAAUAAGGAAUUUGUUUCUUUUUUAUAACUUAUUACCUAUAUAAUGACUAGAAAAACUUUGUAGCGAUGGUGGUAACUAAUAGAGUUUUGGAUUGUGUUAGGGUGUACAUGGUUCUGUAUGGAUAAAUUUCAAAACCAAGUCAUUAUCUGUUUAACGAAAGAACCAAACCAGGAACGAAUAUAAAUGUCAUGUAUUGUUGUGGUAUUGAGACACUUGGAGGUAUAGAAUCAUUUAAUCGAAUAAAAUUAUUGCUUAGUUUGACAUACAACUAUGAUGCUGAAUAAGAUAUGAAAAUAUCAAGGAUGAAGAUCUGGGGAUGGAAAGGUGAAGAAAUCUUAAACUGAAGAAUUCAAGAUGAAAUAUGUUGAGCACUGCAGGAGACUUUUAAGGAAUUCUUCUUGAAUAGAGCGAGUACAUUCUUCAGAAAAAUCCUCCAAGUUCAACUUUGCAAAUACAGAUUCUCGGAGUUCCCACUUCUAGUAAAUUUUACCUCCUCUUGCUUGGAAAAAGAAGUAUAUAUAUAAUUACAUGUGAGCCUUUAUGUAACGCAAUUUCUACCCUUUUGCUUAAAGUACAGCACUAACUUGAGCCUUUAUGUAAAUCAAUGUGAUAAAUCUGGCUGCUUUCCUUUUUAUGAUGCCACAUUGCACCAGCAUUUUGCAAUCUGCUGGGGUGUCUACUGUUAAAACUCCAAGAAUAUAAAUGCAUAAAAUGAAUUAACAUGCAGAACAUCCCCAUUACAGAACUUGACUUACUGGAACCUAUGUUUGACACUUCGGCUUGGACCUUCAAUAAAUUGUAUUUCCUUGUAUCAUCCAACAUAGUUACUAUAGUAGAUGGUUAAGUUGGAGUACUUUCUUGCAGGUGAGGAUGAAGCUUGUAAAGGACUGGCUUCCUGUUCUGAUUGUAUGCAAAGACAACGUGUCACCGAUGUCGCCUAGUCAUAAAUCACUGUACAUAGAGCUGGAAGAAACAUUCCUAAGAAUUAUCUCUACGCUGCCAAUGUCAGAUGCACAAGAGUUGUUGCAGCAGUGCCUCAGCUUCUCAACUCGAAAUGUUGAAGAUUGCCCUCAUUUGGUCUGUGCAUUCAACACUUGGUUCCGCCGUGCAAUGCAACCACCACAAGGGAACCUUUGAUAGAGAGAUGGACAGUUUUUUGUUGAGAACUGUAGCCUCUGCUUCUGAAUUCUAGAUUUUUGUCAAUAUUGUGUAUAAUGCUCUGAUGUUUGUAUUAUCGCAUAGUUUACUCUGUAUAUAUACCACGAAUCUGCAUCAGGAGAAAACUAUAUGCUUUCUCUUCAUUUCUUAUACUCUUCAUUUUGGGGCAAUACCCAUGGUUUUUGAAAAAUGAUGGUGGCCUUCAUUGCAUGGUUUUUGCUAUGGCAUGUGAUGUACAUAUUUCAUUCUAGGUUUCAAUUAGAAGGGAAUCCCUUUUUUUUUUUUAAAGAGCAUGUCAAAAUUUAUUCUUGAUGCAUUGCUUUGAUUUGUGACUGGAAAUCGUGACGUGGCUGUACAUAGAAGAUUGCCACUAUAUAUGGUCGUUAGGCAUAACUUUUUUUUUUUUUUUUUCUAAUUAACUUUUAAGACUUAACUUUGUUGCUUGUGUAUCGGAAUUAAUCUGUCAACUUGAGAAUGACAACUGCAUGCUUAUCAGAAUCACAGUAUAUUUUCUAGUAGGUUCAAAUUCUCUCAUUUUUUAGAGAUAUUUCUAUGCAAUUUCGACUAUUACAUGUUCUAGCAGGUUCAAACUUGCACAUUAGAGAUGAUCUCACUACAAUUGGACUACUAUUAUUAUUUUUUUUUCUUUGGUGCUGGACCAUGUUUGUUCUAUAUGAGUCCAUUGGGGUAAGUUAAAUCCUACAUGUGCCUGUAAAAUCCUUAAGCGAUUCCAGUGAUUCCAUUGUACUCCAUCUAUAAGGAUUGCACACUCGAUUUAUUAUUUAAGAAACGACAUCCAAAUCAAUCCCUGUUCUCAAUUUAGAUUUAAUUGUGUGGAUUUGAAGCCACAUCGAUUCUAUCUUGUGCAUAUCCAAGAUAGUUUAGUAACUUUGGUCUAGUGGAUUUGAAGCGCACUAGACUCCAUUUUGAUGAUCUUAGGAUCAAUUUCUUGGUUUUGGUGGCAUUUACAAUGUUCUUGGUGCUGAAUGAUACAUAUAAAAACAACAGUAGUAACACUAAACCAUAACUAAAACAUUGAUCAAGCAAGCCAUGCAAUGUGUUCAUGUAAACAUAGGUAUAUUAACUUGAAAAAAUUAACGAGAGAUCCAAAUCUAUUUUAUGUGACAGAAAUUUCAUUGCUAUUAACACCCUUGCAAAAAGAAAAACCAGAACUCCACCGUCUUAGAAGCAACAGCAGGUUAUAGUAACUAAAAAUACAGGGUCUGUAUCGGGUGGAAAAAUGCUGCGGAGACGGUGCAGUACAUUUAACAGGCUUAAUCAAUCUUUUAUUACAGAUGCAACAACUAGAAUUUAUACAUUGCCUGCGCUCAGAUGCAAUUAUGUGAUGAGAUUAUUCACAAUCAGGGCAAUCUUUAGUUAGAGUAGCCGCCUUCUAAAGUUGCGGGCGGUGCCUUGGUAAGUUUGAACUAGCAACCCCACACCAAUUCCAAUUCCAAUGCAAAUGCUUAGGCCAAUACCAACACCUACCCUCACACCAGCAUUGAACCAUGAAAGUUCGCCGUCUUCACCUUCUAAAUAUCCUGUUCCAAAGUGACUGUAUUCUUCAUUUUCUGACUUGUGAUUUGAGUAUUCUGACAUCUGCAUUAUUUAAAAAUUAGAUUAAAGCUCUGAAGUCUAAGUCUGAACGACAACCGAGUACAUUCUUCAGAAAAACCUUUGAUAGAGAGAUGGACAGUUUUUUGUUGAGAACUGUAGCCUCUGCUUCUGAAUUCUAGAUUUUUGUCAAUAUUGUGUAUAAUGCUCUGAUGUUUGUAUUAUCGCAUAGUUUACUCUGUAUAUAUACCACGAAUCUGCAUCAGGAGAAAACUAUAUGCUUUCUCUUCAUUUCUUAUACUCUUCAUUUUGGGGCAAUACCCAUGGUUUUUGAAAAAUGAUGGUGGCCUUCAUUGCAUGGUUUUUGCUAUGGCAUGUGAUGUACAUAUUUCAUUCUAGGUUUCAAUUAGAAGGGAAUCCCUUUUUUUUUUUUAAA
RNAcentral lists this long non-coding RNA (13493 nucleotides) under Jatropha curcas. Its description in RNAcentral is "long non-coding RNA (JCUR_LNC000134)". Lineage: Eukaryota; Viridiplantae; Streptophyta; Magnoliopsida; Malpighiales; Euphorbiaceae. The record is from RNAcentral.